This 299-nucleotide RNase P RNA is filed under the name Candidatus Handelsmanbacteria bacterium RIFCSPLOWO2_12_FULL_64_10. RNAcentral's name for it is "RNase P RNA component class A". It matches the Rfam family "Bacterial RNase P class A". Rfam says of the family: Ribonuclease P (RNase P) is a ubiquitous endoribonuclease, found in archaea, bacteria and eukarya as well as chloroplasts and mitochondria. Its best characterised activity is the generation of mature 5'-ends of tRNAs by cleaving the 5'-leader elements of precursor-tRNAs. The record is from RNAcentral. Lineage: Bacteria; Candidatus Handelsmaniibacteriota.
GUGGGAGGAAGGGCAGCCGCUCCGGCGAUACGCUGGAGAGGAAAGUCCAGACAGCACAGAGCAGGGUGCCCGAUGUAAGUCGGGGCCGGGUAACCGGUGGCAGAGCCACAGAGACGAGUGUCCGCCCUUUGGCGGAAGUGAAAAGGGCAUUCCCCCCCGCUGCAACCCGAAGCAUGGCCGUUGACGCUGCUCGCCGAGGCCAGGGUACGGGGCACCCGCUUCAACGCGGGCGGUUCGCUUGGCGAAUCGAGACAGAUGGCCGCCUGAAACAGAAUCUGGCUUACUCUCCUCCUGCGCGC